This 481-nucleotide ribosomal RNA is filed under the name uncultured bacterium. RNAcentral's name for it is "partial 16S ribosomal RNA". It matches the Rfam family "Bacterial small subunit ribosomal RNA", at positions 28 to 523 of the family's 1533-position model. The record is from RNAcentral.
GACGAACGCUGGCGGCGUGCUUAACACAUGCAAGUCGAGCGAUGAAGUUUCUUCGGAAAUGGAUUAGCGGCGAACGGGUGAGGAACACGUGAAGAAUCUGCCCUCCACUUUGGGAUAACACCGGGAAACCGGUGCUAAUACCGAAUAUUGAAACAUAAGUGGCAUCACUGAGUUUUGAAAGAAUUUCGGUGGAGGAUGACUUCGCGGCCUAUCAGCUAGUUGGUGAGGUAAUGGCUCACCAAGGCAACGACGGGUAGCCGGCCUGAGAGGGCGACCGGCCACACUGGGACUGAGACACGGCCCAGACUCCUACGGGAGGCAGCAGUGGGGAAUAUUGGGCAAUGGAGGAAACUCUGACCCAGCGACGCCGCGUGCGGGAUGAAGGCCUUCGGGUUGUAAACCGCUUUCAGUAGGGAAGAAGCGAAAGUGACGGUACCUACAAAAGAAGCACCGGCUAACUAUGUGCCAGCAGCCGCGGUAA